This 492-nucleotide ribosomal RNA is filed under the name uncultured bacterium. Its description in RNAcentral is "partial 16S ribosomal RNA". It matches the Rfam family "Bacterial small subunit ribosomal RNA", at positions 29 to 507 of the family's 1533-position model. The record is from RNAcentral.
AGUGAACGCUGGCGGUAGGCCUAACACAUGCAAGUCGAACGGCAGCACAUUAAGAGCUUGCUCUUACGGGUGGCGAGUGGCGGAUGGGUGAGGAAUACAUCGGAAUCUACAUUUUCGUGGGGGAUAACGUAGGGAAACUUACGAUAAUACCGCAUACGACCUACGGGUGAAAGCAGGGGAUCUUCGGACCUUGCGCGAUUGAAUGAGCCGAUGUCGGAUUUGCUAGUUGGCGGGGUAAAGGCCCACCAAGGCGACGAUCCGUAGCUGGUCUGAGAGGAUGAUCAGCCACACUGGAACUGAGACACGGUCCAGACUCCUACGGGAGGCAGCAGUGGGGAAUAUUGGACAAUGGGCGCAAGCCUGAUCCAGCCAUACCGCGUGGGUGAAGAAGGCCUUCGGGUUGUAAAGCCCUUUUGUUGGGAAAGAAAAGCAGCAGGUUAAUACCCCGCUGUUCUGACGGUACCCAAAGAAUAAGCACCGGCUAACUUCGUG